GGUUGCGUGGCCCAGUGGUUAAGGCAUCUGCUUUACAAGCGCUUGAGAUCCAAGCAACUGCAUCGCAGAGGAUCGCAGGUUCGAUCCCUGCCGCGAUCA
Non-coding RNA from Lasiosphaeria hispida, 99 nucleotides. Lineage: Eukaryota; Fungi; Ascomycota; Sordariomycetes; Sordariales; Lasiosphaeriaceae. The record is from the annotation of a GenBank genome assembly.